UGGCGCCCAGCGUGGGGGCUCCUGGCACGGGGGAGUUAACGAGGGAACCGUUCGAGAACGCCAGAGAGAAGUAAAAACAAAUUGAAUCAAGAGUCAAAGCUAAGAGUGAAAGCACAUUGAAUCAAGGACCGAGGCCUGCGCGGACGACCACCCAGUGUGCUGCCUGAGUCACGGUGAGUGAACAGCAACCCCAUUCCCUUUCUCGGACAUGGGUCAAGCAUUGAGCUAAUAUGAAUUGUUCGUGGGAGGCCUCAGCAAGGCAUUAAAGACAAGAGGGCUAAGGGUUAGAACAAAAGAAUUGUUGCAGUAUUUUCAAUUUAUUCCUAAGGUUUGCCCUU
Molecule: regulatory RNA element, 338 nt
Organism: Cavia porcellus (domestic guinea pig)
Lineage: Eukaryota; Metazoa; Chordata; Mammalia; Rodentia; Caviidae
Rfam family: Mason-Pfizer monkey virus packaging signal
About the family: The packaging signal is located in the 5' UTR and is required for specific RNA encapsidation.
Source: Rfam